AGGGAAUAUUGCUCAAUGGGCGAAAGCCUGAAGCAGCAACGCCGCGUGAAGGAUGAAGGCCCUCGGGUUGUAAACUUCUUUUAUGAGUGAAGAAUAUGACGGUAACUCAUGAAUAAGCACCGGCUAACUACGUGCCAGCAGCCGCGGUCAUACGUAGGGUGCAAGCAUUAUCCGGAGUGACUGGGCGUAAAGAGUUGCGUAGGCGGUUAGUAAAGCGAAUAGUGAAACCUGGUGGCUCAACCAUACAGACUAUUAUUCGAACUCACUAACUCGAGAAUGGUAGAGGUAACUGGAAUUUCUAGUGUAGGAGUGAAAUCCGUAGAUAUUAGAAGGAACACCAAUGGCGUAGGCAGGUUACUGGACCAUUUCUGACGCUAAGGCACGAAAGCGUGGGGAGCGAACC
This 403-nucleotide ribosomal RNA is filed under the name uncultured Candidatus Saccharibacteria bacterium. RNAcentral describes it as "bacterial SSU rRNA". It matches the Rfam family "Bacterial small subunit ribosomal RNA", at positions 356 to 774 of the family's 1533-position model. Lineage: Bacteria; Candidatus Saccharimonadota. The record is from RNAcentral.